GCCCACCCUCCCGCCAUCCCUCCCGGGCGGGGUCGCGCGCUGCGCGUCCAUAUACAUAAGGGUGCACAUAUGUACCUACGCACAUGCGUACGCGGGGUGGGGUGCGCGCGCGCGCGGAGAGGUGCGGGUGCGCGCGCCGGGCGCCCCUGUGUAUUGAAAGGUGGAUAUUUGUUCGGAGGGAGUUUAAAAGCAGCGCGAGUAACACUUGCGUUUGGGCAGUGUGGUCUGAGAGCAGGGUGCAUGGCAGUGCUCGCAUGGACGUCGCUAUUCAUCUAAAAAUAGUCGCUGAGAGUGAACGCUGACUUCUGCAUCUGGAGGCUCCCUCCCACGCAGCAGCGAAAAGCUGCCAACUUCGAUGUAUUAAAAUUUCAGAUCCAGGACAAAGUUUAUUGUGCCAUGAGCUUUCCUGUCACCUCAGAAAUAAUAAUACUGAGAAAACUGGGUCUGGAAGAUGCACUCUCUCGCUGCUUUUCCCUUGCUCUGUUGCAGAGCCCACAUGUCCAGUCCUUACCUCCUGCUUCAUUGUGAGAAUGCUAUGGGGAAGCAUGUCACAGGCUAAAGUUUGAGUAAGCAACAUCUGCUCUCUGCUUGCCUACAGAGCUCGGCUUUUCAUCACAGAGGUGCUCAGGCUGGUCAGGCAUGAUUUGCUUUUGGUAAAUCUAUGCUGGCUCUUCCCAGUCACGUUCCUGCUUUGACUGAGCCUGGAAAUAAUCUCCCAGAGUUUCAGGUGAAGCUGCUCCCCCCUAAGUUCCUCAGAUCCUCCCUGCCUUCGACCCUCAGGGACCUCCCAUGAGCACUGUGAUCAUUCAGAGAUGACAGAAGGUGGCCUCACAAUGACAUUGACCACAUCUCAGUGUGCUUGGUUGCUCCCCAUUUGAUCCCAUGAGCUUACAUGUGUCCAGUUUAUUUAAGUAGUUCCUAACUUCACUGAAUUUCACUGAAUUUCACUGAAUUUCUAGAGUUGGAAGGGACCAUAGAGAUCAUCUAGUCCAACUCCCCUGCUGAAGCAGGAUUGCCUAGAGCUAGAGCAUGUUACUCAGGACUACAUCCAGGCGGGUUUUGAAAAUCUCCAAAGAAGGGGACUCCACAACCUCCCUGGGCAGCCUGUUCCAGGGUUCCGUCACCCUCAC
RNAcentral lists this long non-coding RNA (1130 nucleotides) under Calidris pugnax (ruff). RNAcentral's name for it is "lncRNA (ENSCPUG00000005795.1)". Lineage: Eukaryota; Metazoa; Chordata; Aves; Charadriiformes; Scolopacidae. The record is from RNAcentral.